GUGGAUAUGGCGGAAUUGGCAGACGCGCAUGUUUCAGGUGCAUGUAUCGUAAGAUGUGAAGGUUCAAAUCCUUUUAUCCACACCA
This 85-nucleotide transfer RNA is filed under the name Tissierellia bacterium. RNAcentral's name for it is "tRNA-Leu". It matches the Rfam family "tRNA". Rfam says of the family: Transfer RNA (tRNA) molecules are approximately 80 nucleotides in length. Their secondary structure includes four short double-helical elements and three loops (D, anti-codon, and T loops). Lineage: Bacteria; Bacillati; Bacillota; Tissierellia. The record is from RNAcentral.